Molecule: long non-coding RNA, 1174 nt
Filed under: Equus caballus (horse)
Lineage: Eukaryota; Metazoa; Chordata; Mammalia; Perissodactyla; Equidae
Description: lncRNA (ENSECAG00000042321.2)
Source: RNAcentral
GUAUGUGGGACGCUGCCAUAGCAUGGCUUGAUGAGCGGUGUGUAGGUCCAUGCCUCGGAUCUGAACCUGUGAAACCUGGGCCAUGGAAGUGGAGCAGGGAACCUAACCUCUACGCCACCAGACUUUACCACAAGUGUAAGGAAAUAAAGAGAAGCAGAAACAGAGAGAGAGCGAGCAAGGAAGAAAGAAAAGAAGGAAGAAAGGAAGAAAGAAAGAAGGAAAGAAAAAAAGAAAGAAAAAGAUAAAAAGACAAAGAAAGAAUCAUAGUGGUAACUCCCGGGAAAACCGCUGUUACCAUUUUGGUGGCGCUCCUUCCAGACUUUUCUCUGUGCAUGACUAUCAAAAUACCUAGAUGUACCUGUGUGUUAAAGACUAUAGCAUAAUAUUUUCUAUGUUGUUUUAUAAAGUUUUCUCUCUUUUCCACUUACCAAUAUUUUGAUAACAUUUCAUCUUGUCAACGAAUGUUCAUCUCCAGCGCCUUUUUUCCCUUGCGGCUGUGGACACCUCGUGGACGGGUCUACUGUGUUUGGGUGGGGACAUGGAGGCCCAAGGCCCCACAGCAGGUGAUGGAAGUGCCAAGCCCAGUGACCAGCCUGGGGUCCAUUCUGUGCCAGCUCACCUGCAGGGAGCAUUGCUGCUGAGGUCACAGUUCCUGGAGCCAGACUGCUCCUGGCACCGCCAUGCACACUCACGGUCAGAUGUGUGACAAUGGGAGUCGGACUUCAGAGCGGUUAUAGCUUCUUCCAGUGCCAAAGCGGAGGCUUCCUGGACGCAGCCCGGGACGGAGCGGCCUGGCAGAUGGGGACGUGGCGGGCGUUAUGGGCUGAAUUGUGUCCCCCUCCCCAGAAAUUCACAUGUUGAGGUCCUAACCCCAGUGUCAGAAUGUGGCUGUAUCUGGAGACAGGGUCUUUAACGAGGUAAUUGAGUUAAAAUGAGUUCAUUUAACCCAAUGUGACUGGUGUCCUUACGAGAAGAGGGGAUCAGGACACAGACACACACAGAAGGAAAAGCACGUGAAGAUAUGGGGACAAGGUGGCCACCGACAGGCCAAGGAGAGAGGCCGCAGGAGAAACCGGCCCUGCGGACACCUUGAUCUUGGACUUUGAGCCUCUAGAAUUGUGAGAAAAUAAAUUUUGUUGUUUGAGCCACCCAGUCCGUGGUUCUUUGUCAUGGC